AUUGAACGCUGGCGGCAGGCCUAACACAUGCAAGUCGAACGGUAACAGGAAACAGCUUGCUGUUUCGCUGACGAGUGGCGGACGGGUGAGUAAUGUCUGGGAAACUGCCUGAUGGAGGGGGAUAACUACUGGAAACGGUAGCUAAUACCGCAUAACGUCGCAAGACCAAAGAGGGGGACCUUCGGGCCUCUUGCCAUCGGAUGUGCCCAGAUGGGAUUAGCUAGUAGGUGGGGUAACGGCUCACCUAGGCGACGAUCCCUAGCUGGUCUGAGAGGAUGACCAGCCACACUGGAACUGAGACACGGUCCAGACUCCUACGGGAGGCAGCAGUGGGGAAUAUUGCACAAUGGGCGCAAGCCUGAUGCAGCCAUGCCGCGCGUAUGAAGAAGGCCUUCGGGUUGUAAAGUACUUUCAGCGGGGAGGAAGGGAGUAAAGUUAAUACCUUUGCUCAUUGACGUUACCCGCAGAAGAAGCACCGGCUAACUCCGUG
This 490-nucleotide ribosomal RNA is filed under the name uncultured bacterium. Its description in RNAcentral is "partial 16S ribosomal RNA". It matches the Rfam family "Bacterial small subunit ribosomal RNA", at positions 30 to 507 of the family's 1533-position model. The record is from RNAcentral.